This 739-nucleotide long non-coding RNA is filed under the name Podarcis muralis (Common wall lizard). RNAcentral's name for it is "lncRNA (ENSPMRG00000014975.1)". The record is from RNAcentral. Lineage: Eukaryota; Metazoa; Chordata; Lepidosauria; Squamata; Lacertidae.
AUGCCUGAUCGUCCUACCUUUUGGGUCAGCCGAGAACAACACUUUGCCCUCUUCUGUGUUCUAGCCCUUCAGGUAUUGGCAGAGUGCUAUCACUUCCCUCUUGGUCUCCUCACUUUGGUGCUUUGCUAUCCCCUGACAGCUAUGGAGUCCCAUUCGAAGCUGUUCCCUGCUAACUCCGCUUGCAGCGACAGAUGCUCCUCUGCAUGGUGUGCCUCCCCUGGAAGCCAGAGGUGCUGGGAUGUAGAAACUGUUGGGCCACCUCUGCUGCUUUCUUACUCCAGCUUGGAGGAGCUGAAGGAGAUGGAAGCCUUGAGACUGAAGGUGGCAAUGCUGCGCCAGCAACUUGAGAUACAGAAGGCCAUGGAAGCUGAACUCCUCCCUCUUCUAGAACCUGGACGUAUUCAGGAAAGCUCCAGAGCAUCACUGUGCCGUGCCAUUUACACCUUGCUGUGUGAAGGAGGUGAACGCUUCCCUGUUCUUGUGCAUGAUGAGGAGUUGCCCAGCUGACUUGACGCCUCAAUCUGACAUAUGACAAUGUGCAUAGAAAGCACUGAACUCUGGCUGCAGUCUUUAAACCAGUGCACAUCCUUGGACUGUUCUGUGAAUGAUCAAGCUUAAUAGUACUCUAAGGGGCAUUGCCUGCAUUCAUAAAGCAAAUAAAUUUAUUUUAUACCUUUGAAAUCUUUCUCUUGCACAAAUUUCUUUCAGCCUCAUCUGAAACUUCUCAAACAGGUUCUGA